UACGAAGGGGGCUAGCGUUGCUCGGAAUUACUGGGCGUAAAGGGCGCGUAGGCGGAUAUUUAAGUCAGGGGUGAAAGCCCGGGGCUCAACCUCGGAAUUGCCUUUGAUACUGGAUAUCUUGAGUUCGGGAGAGGUGAGUGGAAUGCCGAGUGUAGAGGUGAAAUUCGUAGAUAUUCGGCGGAACACCAGUGGCGAAGGCGACUCACUGGCCCGAUACUGACGCUGAGGCGCGAAAGCGUGGGGAGCAAACAGG
This 253-nucleotide ribosomal RNA is filed under the name uncultured bacterium. RNAcentral's name for it is "partial 16S ribosomal RNA". It matches the Rfam family "Bacterial small subunit ribosomal RNA", at positions 524 to 776 of the family's 1533-position model. The record is from RNAcentral.